GGUUCAUCAAUCCAUCUAAUUCGGCGGCGCACAUACAAAACAUUGAGAUUCACAACCAGUACGUUAAGUGAGAGGACAACAUUAUAGGCACGGCUAUGGCGUCAUGUCCAGCACUGCUUUCCUGCCUUCCGUACUGAAUAUAUUUUUUCUUUGCAGAAACGUAUCCCAUCUCUAUGUACUGACAGGGCCAUCCAGCAGUAUAUCUGCGAAUAUGUAUAUAGAAAUCGGAUCCUGUCAGUCUACUCCACACCCGGGGAACAGUUCAAGCAAUUCCUCGCAGAUGUCAGGGCAACCUAUCCUGGCCCUGGCCGUACAGGCUUGAUCCUUGGCUCUAUUGGUGUCGAGACAUCUGGAGCCGAACAGAGUCACGAUGACUCCUUACCAUCACCAGUUUCCACAUUGCUCUCGCCAUCACCAGUUCCCACAUCUCCUCCGCAUCAAAGCACCGAGGUACAACAAUUGGGCACAAGAUCCUUCCACAUCUCUGCCCAAGAUUGGAAGGACGCCGGACCAAGCGCGUCGCAAGGGACAAAUUGAACCACUGGCCAUAUUUUACUGCUUUUACACAUUUUGGUUUUUUUCAAUUAGCAAUAAAGAGUUAUUUGCCGUAAUAAUUUGACUGACUUUUUUAC
RNAcentral lists this long non-coding RNA (632 nucleotides) under Androctonus crassicauda. Lineage: Eukaryota; Metazoa; Arthropoda; Arachnida; Scorpiones; Buthidae. The record is from RNAcentral.